This 73-nucleotide transfer RNA is filed under the name Nitrosovibrio sp. Nv17. It matches the Rfam family "tRNA". From Rfam's summary of the family: Transfer RNA (tRNA) molecules are approximately 80 nucleotides in length. Lineage: Bacteria; Pseudomonadati; Pseudomonadota; Betaproteobacteria; Nitrosomonadales; Nitrosomonadaceae. The record is from Rfam by way of RNAcentral.
GCCGCUGUAGCUGAGAUGGAUUAGCGCGGGUUUGAAGCACCCGAGAGGCAGGCUCGAUACCUUGCCGGCGGCA